This 2265-nucleotide long non-coding RNA is filed under the name Lynx pardinus (Iberian lynx). The record is from RNAcentral. Lineage: Eukaryota; Metazoa; Chordata; Mammalia; Carnivora; Felidae.
AAGCAUUCAUAGAACUCUGAAACACACACACACACACACACACAUACAUAUGUUUUCCUUCAUGAGGGAGUCCUUUAAUAGACAUGGGAAGGACAGGGUCAUGACUUGGUCCUGAGCCAAGGGAUGUAGUGGCUCCUCCUCCCCAACGCUGCAUGACUCUGGUAAAAGUUGACAUGGGAGAGGUGGUUUUAAAACAAACAUGGUGAGACUAAGUUUUCACUUUCAUGAAAAAAAGGGGAACUCGGGAGGAUUUGUACACAGAACAGAGUCUAAGCACCUAUUCCCAUAAGGCUGAAGCUUGCUACAUUCUGCACUGGACACUCUCUCCCCAAACUGUAUGCAUCCAAGUAAGACAAGAGCCUGGCUAGUCCCUGGCUGCACAUGAGGGACUGAUGACUCUAUAGCUCUUAGUGUUUUUACACUAUGCAUAUUGUUGUGCUUUAGAACUCCCUACCCUGCAGCCUCAACCUGAAGCAUCAGGUGAGAAGCCCUCUUCUACUUCAAGCUCAGACCCAGGAGACAGCAGCCCUACUCCUUGCUGGCUCUGUAAACUGAGGGGUCAUCAAAAGAGACGGGUCAAUGCUGGACAAGAUGCAGCCAGUGGGAGAAGGCAGGGUUGGAAGGACCAGGGUGAAAGGUAAGGCCAAGGGUAGCAAGGGUGUAUGGACUGGGAAGGUUGGGGACUGGGCAAAACUGGGCUCAGAUUAGGGGGCAAGAUGUGGAUGGGGGCAGGAUUGAGCAUGUCCUCAAAAGCCAUGCUGUAGCAGCAAGCUGGGCAGGGGUGAGGUGCUCAGGGCUCCAUUCUACCCAGGGCAGCUGCCUCGAGCUUCAGGUGGCUGGGGCAGGCCCUGACUCCAGAUGCGUGUGGGGAGAGGCAGGAGGGAGUCACUAGUGUCAGAUGGGGCUGGGCUGGGGGGGGGGGGGGCAGGGCAUGGUGACAUCCGUGGGCAUGUCCCUGUGGGCCAGGUGGGAUCAACAGGAUCAGUUGUUUUGGAAGAGAGAAAGCAGGUCAUCAUUACUGUUUGGGGAGGUCAGGUGAACCGAGGUAGGACAGCUGGAUAGAACUGUCUUAAAUGUUCCCCUUCAUUAAUCUAAAAUUAGUUUUCAGGUGACUUAGCAAAGCUAUGAUUAAGAACCAGAACUUUUGGGGCGCCUGGGUGGCUCAGUUGGUUAAGUGUCAGACUUCAGCUGAGGUCAUGAUCUCAUGGUUCAUGGUUUGAGCCCAGCAUCAGGCUCUGCUGACAGCUCAGAGCCUAGGGCCUCCUUUGGAUUCUGUCUCUCUCUCUCCCUCUCUCUCUCAAAAAUAAACAUUACAAUAUAUUUAAAAAGAACCAGAACCUUGAAGUUAUAAAAUUAAAAGUUUGAGUCCCAGCUUCUCUCCUUACAGCUGCAUGAUGCCAGUAAAUGUGCAGUUCUAAACCACGGCCCCCAAAUUCAUUGACAUUUCUCUCAGCAUCUGGUAGGUCUUUGUCUCCUUUAUCUUGAAUCUAGACUCUGUGACCAAGAUAAUACUAUGCAAGUGGUACUGUGUCAGUUUCCAGGCUCAGGCUUUUAAAACUAGCAACUUCCACUUCUUGUCUCUUGGGGUGCCCACUCUUAGGACACAGCUGCCAAGAUCCAAGAAAGUCAAAUAGCUUCAUGGAGAACACAUAUGGGCAUUCCAGCCAAGAGCCAUACCUGAAUAUCUAAGUGACUGGCAGCAUCAGCCACCAGACUGUGUAAGUGUGUGGACCUUUGGAUGAUUCUAGUCCCCAGCCAUCAUGUCCUCCCAACCUAUGCAUCAACCCAGCUUAGAACAAAGAUGGGUUAUCCCAACCACAUGGUGCCCAAGUGGCAGAUAUUUGAACAAAUUAAAUAAUUGUUGUGUUUUAAGCCACUGAGUUUAGGUUGGUUUGUUACACAGCAACAUAUAUUUCACCUAGUAAGUUACUUUAUCUCUUUAAUCUGUUUUCUUACCCAUAAAAUGAGAGAAAAACAUCCUCAUGGUGGUGUUAUGAAGGAUAAAUGAAAUAACAUAUUCAAAGCAAGAACCCCAUAUCUUUGAGACUCAGUUGAUAGUAGUCACCAUCGUUACAUUGAUAUUUUUAUUAUUUUAAUGGGCUGAAAUCAUGGGCUUUCAAAAGCCAUAUUAUAUUUCUAAGGUAGCCCCAAGACAAGAUUAUUAGAUAUAAUAGCAAAGAUAUACAUACACACACGCGUGUGUGUAUGAUAGCUAACCUACCUUUUUUUUUUUUUUUUAAGGAUCAAAGAAGGCAUCAAACCCUU